UUUUCAGCAUUUGAGGGACCUUCCUGGUUCUGCCAUUUCUUAAAAACCCAGUUCACUGAUGAGAAGUUUCAAGUACAGCUUGGCAAAUCCAGAGGAUGCCGGGGGAAGCAGCUGAUACAAUUCACAUGUUCACUCAUCUACUGCAUAUGGAAUAUAAGGAAGAGGAGUCCCACAAAAGUCCUGAUGAUACUUUGGUCCAGUUUCACCUGAAAUCAAAAAGAUUGUAUUGCUUCAGUCUGUCCCUGGGAAACCACUAA
Molecule: long non-coding RNA, 257 nt
Filed under: Manacus vitellinus (golden-collared manakin)
Lineage: Eukaryota; Metazoa; Chordata; Aves; Passeriformes; Pipridae
Description: lncRNA (ENSMVIG00005005606.1)
Source: RNAcentral